RNAcentral lists this ribosomal RNA (517 nucleotides) under Anguilla japonica (Japanese eel). RNAcentral describes it as "partial 16S rRNA". It matches the Rfam family "Bacterial large subunit ribosomal RNA", at positions 1927 to 2577 of the family's 2925-position model. Lineage: Eukaryota; Metazoa; Chordata; Actinopteri; Anguilliformes; Anguillidae. The record is from RNAcentral.
ACGGCCGCGGUAUCCUGACCGUGCGAAGGUAGCGUAAUCAUUUGUCUUUUAAAUAGAGACCUGUAUGAAUGGCAUAACGAGGGUUUAACUGUCUCCUUCCCCUAGUCAAUGAAAUUGAUCUGCCCGUGCAGAAGCGGACAUAAAUACAUAAGACGAGAAGACCCUAUGGAGCUUUAGACAAAAGAUCAAACAUGUAAAGAAACCAAGUUAACCAAAAGGAACACAAAGGCCACGAAACCCGACGUAAACUGAUCCAAAUGUCUUCGGUUGGGGCGACCAUGGGGGAGAAAAAAGCCCCCACGAGGAACAGGGACUAAUCCCUAAGCCAAGAGAGACAUCUCUAAGCAACAGAAAAUCUGACCAAAAGUGACCCAGAAUACUAAUUCUGAUCAACGAACCAAGUUACCCUAGGGAUAACAGCGCAAUCCUUUCCCAGAGUCCAUAUCGACGAAAGGGUUUACGACCUCGAUGUUGGAUCAGGACAUCCUAAUGGUGCAGCCGCUAUUAAGGGUUCGUU